This 300-nucleotide ribosomal RNA is filed under the name Alphaproteobacteria bacterium. RNAcentral's name for it is "bacterial SSU rRNA". It matches the Rfam family "Bacterial small subunit ribosomal RNA", at positions 29 to 339 of the family's 1533-position model. Lineage: Bacteria; Pseudomonadati; Pseudomonadota; Alphaproteobacteria. The record is from RNAcentral.
AACGAACGCUGGCGGCAGGCUUAACACAUGCAAGUUGAACGGGAUUUGUUUGUAGCUUGCUAUAAGCAAUGAGAGUAGCGCACUGGUGAGUAACACGUGGGAACAUGCCUUUUGGUGGGGACAACAGAGGGAAACUUCUGCUAAUACCGCAUAAGCCCUAAGGGGGAAAGAUUUAUUGCCGAAAGAUUGGCCCGCGGAAGAUUAGGUAGUUGGUGGGGUAAAGGCCUACCAAGCCGACGAUCUAUAGCUGGUCUGAGAGGACGAACAGCCACAUUGGAACUGAGACACGGUCCAGACUCC